CAGCCACACUGGAACUGAGACACGGUCCAGACUCCUACGGGAGGCAGCAGUGGGGAAUUUUCCGCAAUGGGCGAAAGCCUGACGGAGCAAUACCGCGUGAGGGAGGAAGGCUCUUGGGUUGUAAACCUCUUUUCUCAGGGAAUAAGCAAGUGAAGGUACCUGAGGAAUCAGCAUCGGCUAACUCCGUGCCAGCAGCCGCGGUAAUACGGAGGAUGCAAGCGUUAUCCGGAAUGAUUGGGCGUAAAGCGUCCGUAGGUAGCAGUGUGUGUCUAUUGUUAAAGAGUUUGGCUUAACCAAAUAAAGGCGGUAGAAACUACACAGCUAGAGUGCGUUCGGGGCAGAGGGAAUUCCUGGUGUAGCGGUGAAAUGCGUAGAGAUCAGGAAGAACACCGGUGGCGAAAGCGCUCUGCUAGGCCGCAACUGACACUGAGGGACGAAAGCUAGGGGAGCGAAUGGGAUUAGAUACCCCAGUAGUCCUAGCCGUAAACGAUGGAUACUAGGCGUUGAGAGUAUCGACCCUCUCAGUGCCGUAGCUAACGCGUUAAGUAUCCCGCCUGGGGAGUACGCACGCAAGUGUGAAACUCAAAGGAAUUGACGGGGGCCCGCACAAGCGGUGGAGUAUGUGGUUUAAUUCGAUGCAAC
RNAcentral lists this ribosomal RNA (642 nucleotides) under Escherichia coli. RNAcentral's name for it is "bacterial SSU rRNA". It matches the Rfam family "Bacterial small subunit ribosomal RNA", at positions 305 to 960 of the family's 1533-position model. The record is from RNAcentral. Lineage: Bacteria; Pseudomonadati; Pseudomonadota; Gammaproteobacteria; Enterobacterales; Enterobacteriaceae.